CCGAGGCGAAGAUCUGUAGCCGGGUCUGAGAGGAUGAUCCGCCACACUGGGACUGAGACACGGCCCAGACCCCUACGGGAGGCAGCAGUGGGGAAUUUUGGACAAUGGGGCAACCCUGAUCCAGCCAUGCCGCGUGUAUGAAGAAGGCCUUAGGGUUGUAAAGUACUUUUGUUAGGGAAGAAAAGUCAGCUGUGAAUAAUGGCUGAUACUGACGGUACCUAAAGAAUAAGCACCGGCUAACUACGUGCCAGCAGCCGCGGUAAUACGUAGGGUGCGAGCGUUAAUCGGAAUUAUUGGGCGUAAAGCGAGUGUAGACGGUUAUUUAAGCCAGAUGUGAAAUACCCGAGCCUAACUUGGGAGGUGCAUAUGGAACUGGGUAGCUAGAGUGUGUCAGAGGGAGGUAGAACUCCACGUGUAGCAGUGAAAUGCGUAGAGAUGUGGAAGAAUACCGAUGGCGAAGGCAGCCUCCUGGGAUAACACUGACGUUGAGGCUCGAAAGCGUGGGGAGCAAACAGGAUUAGAUAC
This 525-nucleotide ribosomal RNA is filed under the name uncultured Neisseriales bacterium. RNAcentral describes it as "bacterial SSU rRNA". It matches the Rfam family "Bacterial small subunit ribosomal RNA", at positions 268 to 785 of the family's 1533-position model. Lineage: Bacteria; Pseudomonadati; Pseudomonadota; Betaproteobacteria; Neisseriales. The record is from RNAcentral.